This 3369-nucleotide long non-coding RNA is filed under the name Oreochromis niloticus (Nile tilapia). Its description in RNAcentral is "lncRNA (ENSONIG00000028817.1)". The record is from RNAcentral. Lineage: Eukaryota; Metazoa; Chordata; Actinopteri; Cichliformes; Cichlidae.
AUGUUGGAGUCUGACUUUGUUGAGAAAGCUCCAGAAGACACAAAGGUCUCUCAAGAAGAUCUCAAAUUUCUAACAAAGAUGAAGACCGGCAUUAGGCACAAGGAGGAUGGUCAUUUUGAAAUGCCACUCCCAUUCAAGAGUGAAAGGCCGAACCUGCCGAACAACAAGGCAUGUGCUAUUCAUCGCCUCAAAUGUUUAGGAAAAAGGCUCAAGAGUAACAAGCAGUACUACAUGGACUAUAAGAAAUUCAUGGAUGAGAUCCUCGCCCAUGGAGAUGCUGAAAAGGUCCCAGAGCAAGACAUUGACAAGACACCAGUUUGGUACAUCCCACACCAUGGUGUGUAUCAUCCACAAAAACCCGGAAAGAUUCGUGUCGUCUUUGAUGCCUCUGCCAAGUUCCAAGGCACUUCCCUAAAUGACCAUCUCCUGACUGGUCCAGAGCUAACAAACACCUUGCUCGGAGUCUUGUGUCGCUUCCGAAGAGGGCCAGUGGCUUUCAUGUGUGACAUCGAACGCAUGUUCCACCAAUUCCAUGUGCAUGCUUGCGACCAAGAUUACCUACGGUUCUUGUGGUGGGAGAACGGUGACCUUGAAACUCCAUUCACUGUCUACAGGAUGAAGGUACACCUAUUUGGAGCAGCAUCUUCUCCAGGUUGCGCCAACUAUGGCCUCAAGCAUCUUGCAGCUGAAGGGGAAGGAAGUUUUGAUGAAGAAACCAUCAAGUUCAUCAAAACCAACUUCUACGUUGAUGAUGGACUAGCAAGUGUUGACACUGAAGAUCAGGCAAUACAGCUGGUUAAUGAAGCAUGCAAACUCUGCAGCAUGGGCAAACUUCGGUUGCACAAGUUCAUCUCAAACAGCACCAAAGUUCUAGCUUCGCUUCCGAAGGAAGAAUGUGCUGCAGCUCCCAAAGAUCUAGAUAUGGCACUCAGUGAAGUACAUAUGGAAAGAGCACUUGGCGUACAAUGGUGUGUGGCAUCAGAUCAGUUUCAGUUCAGAGUAGUUGUUAAGGAAAAACCACUCACCAGAAGAGGAGUAUUGGCCACAGUCGCCUCUGUGUUCGAUCCACUUGGGUUUGUGUCACCUUUCAUUCUGCUGGGGAAGCAGAUCUUGCAACAAAUGUGUCGAGAUAAACUCAGCUGGGAUGAUAACUUACCUGACAGUCUUCGACCUCAGUGGGAGGCUUGGUUGCGUGACCUGGGAAACCUUGCAGAUGUAAAGGUUCACAGAUGCUACAUUCCUUCGAACUUCAAGGCACAGCACUACGAACUUCAUCAUUUUGCCGAUGCAAGCGCAUCUGGAUAUGGAAUGUGCACUUACCUCAGAGCAGUAAGCACAACUGGUGAAGUCCACUGCUCAUUGGUGAUGGGAAGAUCAAGAGUUCCACCAACCAAAGUCACAACUAUACCUCGGCUUGAGUUGUCGGCGGCCGUUGUUGCUGUGCGCACUGGUGACAUGCUGAAAAAGGAAUUGGAAAUGGAAAUUUCAGAAGAAAGGUAUUGGACUGACUCGAAGGUGGUACUCGGGUACCUCAGCAAUGAAGCCAGAAGAUUUCAUGUGUUUGUUGCAAACCGAGUGGAACGCAUCAAACAAAGUACAGAUCCAACCCAAUGGAGGUAUGUAACUUCCGAAGACAAUCCGGCGGACCACGCCUCAAGAGGUCUCACAGCAGAACAACUUGUAGCAUCAAACUGGUUCAAAGGCCCCGACCUCCUUUGGCAGAAGGUCAUACCCACUGGUGAAAUUAAGGUGGGAGAGUUAUCAACCAGUGACCCGGAGGUUAAGAAGGUUCAAGUCCACAAGAUACAAGUGGAGGAACAAAGGUCCUUGGUAGAUCGCCUACACAAGUUUUCCGACUGGUCGAGAAUGGUUAAGGCAGUUGCUAGACUCAAGCGGUAUGUGAAAGAAGCAAAGGAUCACAAGAGUAGAUCACACGACAUCAGUAGCCUACAAGAGAGAAAGGAAGCAGAGUUAACGAUCAUAAAGAUGGUUCAAGAAACCGCCUUUGCUCAGCAAAUAAAAACCUUGCAACACCAUGAUGUGAUGCAGAUGAAAGACAAGGUUAACAAGUUACACAAGUUAUGUCCAUUUCUUGAUGACCAAGGCAUUCUUCGGGUAGGCGGACGCUUAACACAUGCAGCUUUGCACCCCAAUGUCAAGCAUCCUGCGAUCCUGCCAAGAGACAGUCACGUGUCGGCAUUACUGGUCAAACAUUAUCACGAGAAGACAUACCAUCAAGGACGAGGGAUCACCAUGAAUGAACUUCGAGCUAACGGAUUCUGGAUUCUUGGAUGCAGCAAGAUUGUGUCAUCUUACAUCUAUAAAUGUGUAAAAUGCAGAAGGUUCAGAAGGCGCACAGAGCAGCAGAAGAUGGCAGACCUCCCAGAGGAUCGGAUGGAGACCACACCGCCAUUCACCUACUGUGGGAUGGACUGCUUUGGUCCUUUUUAUGUCAAAGAAGGCCGCAAGGAGCUAAAGCGUUAUGGCUUGCUAAUCACUUGCAUGUGCUCCAGGGCAGUGCAUCUUGAAAUGCUUGAUGAUCUCUCUACAGAUUCCCUCAUCAACUCCUUACGUGCAUUCAUGGCCAUAAGAGGUACAGUUCGCCAGAUAAGAUGCGAUCAAGGCACGAAUUUUGUCGGCACUAGAAAUGAGUUUAUUGGAGCAUUUAAGGAAAUGGAUCAAGCCAAGCUAGGGAAACUGGACUGCGAGUUUCUCAUGAACACCCCAGCGUCUAGUCACAUGGGUGGUGUCUGGGAAAGACAAAUUCGCACCAUAAGAAGUGUUCUCAUGUCCAUUCUGGAACAAUCAGCCAAACAACUCGACAGCUCCUCUCUGAGGACAUUCCUGUAUGAAGUCAUGGCAGUGAUUAAUAGCAGACCAUUGACUACUGACCAACUAUGUGAUCCAUCAAACCCAGAACCUUUAACACCGAAUCACAUACUAACCAUGAAGUCCACAAUCAUCUCUCCACCUCCAGGAAGGUUUGUGAAAGAAGAUCUUUAUCUCCGUAAGAGGUGGCGUCGUGUUCAACUACUUGCCAACACUUUCUGGACAAGGUGGAAAAAGGAGUAUUUGUUAAAUCUUCAAGGCAGACAGAAGUGGACCAAAGAGCACAGAAAUGCUAAGAUCAAUGAUGUUGUCCUCCUGAAGGAUGAGAUAACUCCACGCAACCAGUGGAAGUUGGCAAGGAUCAUUGAAGUGUAUCCUGGAAAGGAUGGAAAAGUGAGGAAGGUGAAAUUGCUGCUGAGUGAUCCAACCCUGGAUAGAGCAGGAAAACGUACCUCCAAACCUGUGCACCUGGAAAGACCCAUUCAGAAGACAGUCAUUCUGAUGGAAGCGGAAGAAGAUUCUCAACCGCACUCUGCUUAA